UAGAUUAGGCAUAGGCGACCUUUGGCCCUCCAGAUGUUUUGGCCUACAACUCCCAUGAUCCCUAGCUAACAGGACCAGUAGUCAGGGAUGAUGGGAAUUGUAGUCCAAUACAUCUGGAGGGACGAAGGUUGCCUAUGCCUGCUUUA
Podarcis lilfordi (Lilford's wall lizard) is the source of this 146-nucleotide non-coding RNA. The record is from the annotation of a GenBank genome assembly. Lineage: Eukaryota; Metazoa; Chordata; Lepidosauria; Squamata; Lacertidae.